This 267-nucleotide ribosomal RNA is filed under the name Paenibacillus nanensis. Its description in RNAcentral is "partial 16S ribosomal RNA". It matches the Rfam family "Bacterial small subunit ribosomal RNA", at positions 1 to 260 of the family's 1533-position model. The record is from RNAcentral. Lineage: Bacteria; Bacillati; Bacillota; Bacilli; Caryophanales; Paenibacillaceae.
CUUUUAUGGAGAGUUUGAUCCUGGCUCAGGACGAACGCUGGCGGCGUGCCUAAUACAUGCAAGUCGAGCGGAGUUAUUCCUUCGGGGAUAACUUAGCGGCGGACGGGUGAGUAACACGUAGGUAACCUGCCUGUAAGACCGGGAUAACAUUCGGAAACGAAUGCUAAUACCGGAUACGCGAGUUGGUCGCAUGGCCGACUCGGGAAAGACGGAGCAAUCUGUCGCUUACAGAUGGACCUGCGGCGCAUUAGCUAGUUGGUGAGGUAA